GUGCUUGCUUCGACAGCACAUAUACUAAAAUUGGAAGGAUACAGAGAAAAUUAGCAUGGCCCCUGGGCAAGUAUGACACGCAAAUUUGUGAAGCGUUCCAUGUUAAA
Small nuclear RNA from Myotis lucifugus (little brown bat), 107 nucleotides. The record is from Ensembl. Lineage: Eukaryota; Metazoa; Chordata; Mammalia; Chiroptera; Vespertilionidae.